CGAAUAAACCACUGGACGCGUAACGAGUGACGUUUUCGUCUUUACCCCGCUAGCACUUACCAAGGCUAAAUUAGCCAUGGUAAAUGUUGUCAGGUUGUCACUUUGUCAGUAUGACGCGAGCUCUCGAAGAGUAAAAAUAUCACGAAAAAUGGGUAAAUGCGCCGUACUUUAUUGCAAAAAUUAUUCCGGUCACACAAGAAAUGUUUCUUAUCACGCAUUUCCAGUGGAUCCAAAUAGAAGGAGAAAGUGGAUAGAGGCAGUCAGAAGACAAAAUACGUGGAUUCCAACUAAAAACCACUGCAUUUGUAGCAUUCAUUUUGCGGAAGAAUGCUACAAUGCCAAUUCUACGAAACAGAGAAAACUGCACAAAGAUUCUAUACCUACAUUGAAUUUGCCUAAAUUUUCACAUGAAACAUAAGAUGAUGAGAUCGACAUAGAUGGAACAUACAAAACAAGCAUACCAGUAAAUGUAAGUAAUAAUUACACCUUUUUUGAAAUAUGUUGUACAUCAAAAUACUGGUCAAAUUUGAAUAAAAUAUUUUUGAUGUUGAUUGAUUUUUUGGCUCUGGAAAUUGCUCUGGAAUCAAUGAAGUUAGGAUAUACCGACGUCUUCAAAACCGAAAUAAGUACUGGGAGGUCUUCUCGAAUGACCUAAACAUAAGAAUAUCAACAACAUUAGAUAAGAAUUAAAUAAUCUCAGAUAGUGCAUCCGUACUGCAAGCGCUACAAAGCAAUACAUUGUCAUAAUGUUAUCAAAUUGUGUUUCAUGAAAUGUAUAGAA
This is a long non-coding RNA of Ostrinia nubilalis (European corn borer), 781 nucleotides long. RefSeq lists it as uncharacterized. The record is from RefSeq and is a predicted model, not a curated record. Lineage: Eukaryota; Metazoa; Arthropoda; Insecta; Lepidoptera; Crambidae. The transcript is spliced from 3 exons.